UAGGGAAUCUUCCACAAUGGGCGCAAGCCUGAUGGAGCAACACCGCGUGAGUGAAGAAGGGUUUCGGCUCGUAAAGCUCUGUUGUUAAAGAAGAACACGUAUGAGAGUAACUGUUCAUACGUUGACGGUAUUUAACCAGAAAGUCACAGCUAACUACGUGUCAG
RNAcentral lists this ribosomal RNA (164 nucleotides) under uncultured bacterium. Its description in RNAcentral is "partial 16S rRNA". It matches the Rfam family "Bacterial small subunit ribosomal RNA", at positions 355 to 511 of the family's 1533-position model. The record is from RNAcentral.